Molecule: ribosomal RNA, 301 nt
Filed under: uncultured bacterium
Lineage: Bacteria
Description: partial 16S ribosomal RNA
Rfam family: Bacterial small subunit ribosomal RNA
Source: RNAcentral
CAGCCGCCGCGGUAAUACGAAGGGUGCAAGCGUUACUCGGAAUUACUGGGCGUAAAGCGUGCGUAGGUGGUGGUUUAAGUCCGUUGUGAAAGCCCUGGGCUCAACCUGGGAAUUGCAGUGGAUACUGGGUCACUAGAGUGUGGUGGAGGAUAGUGGAAUUUCCGGUGUAGCAGUGAAAUGCGUAGAGACCGGAAGGAACAUCUGUGGCGAAGGCGACUAUCUGGGCCAACACUGACACUGAGGCACGAAAGCGUGGGGAGCAAACAGGAUUAGAUACCCCCGUAGUCCCUGUCUCUUAUAC